AACGAACGCUGGCGGCGUGCCUAACACAUGCAAGUCGUGCGAGAAAGUUCCUUCGGGAGCGAGUAAAGCGGCGCACGGGUGAGUAACACGUAGGUAACCUGCCCCCCAGUCUGGAACAACUAGAGGAAACUCUAGCUAAUGCCGGAUGAGACCACGAUCCCUUCGGGGGUUGCGGCCAAAGAUGGCCUCUACUUGUAAGCUAUCGCUGAGGGAUGGGCCUGCGGGCCAUUAGCUUGUUGGUGAGGUAACGGCUCACCAAGGCUGUGAUGGCUAGCUGGUCUGAGAGGAUGACCAGCCACACUGGGACUGAGACACGGCCCAGACUCCUACGGGAGGCAGCAGGUGGGAAUAUUGCGCAAUGGGCGAAAGCCUGACGCAGCGACGCCGCGUGGGUGAUGGAAGGCCGUUCGGGUACGUAAACGCCCUGUCGCAGGGGAAGAAUAAGCAUCGGUAUAAUACGCCGGUGCCCUGACGGUACCCUGCAAGAAAGCACCGGCUAACUCCGUG
RNAcentral lists this ribosomal RNA (507 nucleotides) under uncultured bacterium. RNAcentral describes it as "bacterial SSU rRNA". It matches the Rfam family "Bacterial small subunit ribosomal RNA", at positions 29 to 507 of the family's 1533-position model. The record is from RNAcentral.